GUCCCUGCAGGAAGAGGGAGACACGUGCACACACAGGGCCACGUGAGGACGGUGGCGGGGGUGUGGUGAUGCCACGGCCAGCCAGGGCACGCCAGGAGCUAGAAGAGGCAGGGAGGAUCCACCCCAGAGCCUGCGGAAGGAGCGGGAUCUCCGACCUCUCCAAACCGAGGGAACGGGUUUCUGUCGUUCAAGCCCCCAGCAUGUGGGACAGCAGUGCACGCUCCUGUUGGACCUUGCCCUUGCCCCCCGCCCCCGGCGCUGGCAUGCUCCCUCUUACUGCACCUGCUGCCAGAGAUGGGAGCGUCUUUCCUGCAGCCUUGGGGCCUCGGUGGGGCUGGCCUUGGGGCAGCACGCAGUAGGAAGAAGUCGGUUUGCCGGCCAGGCAGGAAUCAAAGCUAUCUGUUCUAUCUCAGAGAAAUGCAGAAAAAUGUCUUCAAACUUAGCAUCACUGUCAGUUUUAAGUUCUUCGGACUCCUGAACUUGAUGAUGCCAAAUGGGGCCAGCACCAUUUUUUUUUUAACACUUUUUUUGUUGUGUAAAAAAAUGAACAUUAAACAAACGCAAUGUAAAAUUUA
Mirounga angustirostris (Northern elephant seal) is the source of this 575-nucleotide long non-coding RNA. RefSeq lists it as uncharacterized. The transcript has 2 exons. The record is from RefSeq and is a predicted model, not a curated record. Lineage: Eukaryota; Metazoa; Chordata; Mammalia; Carnivora; Phocidae.